GACCUCUCCUUGACCAAGCUGAGCUGCAGUCCGAAUGCCAGGGCUGCAUGCUUCUUUCCUGCUUACAGUUUAGUGAAUAAUCAGGGAUCCAGUAUUUCACUGACCCACUCCAGGUUGCCAGAGUUCCGUUUGAAGGUGUCUCCAUGGUUGCACACACCAGAGGACGGGGACUCUGUGUCUAGAAGGCUGAGGCGAGGGCUCCGUUGUGGGGCAGACUGUUCGCAGUCUUAUCUGUCUGAGUAUUCCUGGGUAUGACUGUGUGUGGCAAAAGCUCGUGUCACCCAAGUAGUCUUCAACUUCUGUAGUUUGUAAAUGAGUGUUGUGGAGGGAAC
This 332-nucleotide long non-coding RNA is filed under the name Androctonus crassicauda. The record is from RNAcentral. Lineage: Eukaryota; Metazoa; Arthropoda; Arachnida; Scorpiones; Buthidae.